RNAcentral lists this ribosomal RNA (497 nucleotides) under uncultured bacterium. RNAcentral's name for it is "partial 16S ribosomal RNA". It matches the Rfam family "Bacterial small subunit ribosomal RNA", at positions 28 to 507 of the family's 1533-position model. The record is from RNAcentral.
GAUGAACGCUGGCGGCGUGCCUAAUACAUGCCAGUCGAGCGAACAGACGAGGAGCUUGCUCCUCUGACGUUAGCGGCGGACGGGUGAGUAACACGUGGAUAACCUACCUAUAAGACUGGGAUAACUUCGGGAAACCGGAGCUAAUACCGGAUAAUAUAUUGAACCGCAUGGUUCAAUAGUGAAAGACGGUUUUGCUGUCACUUAUAGAUGGAUCCGCGCCGCAUUAGCUAGUUGGUAAGGUAACGGCUUACCAAGGCAACGAUGCGUAGCCGACCUGAGAGGGUGAUCGGCCACACUGGAACUGAGACACGGUCCAGACUCCUACGGGAGGCAGCAGUAGGGAAUCUUCCGCAAUGGGCGAAAGCUUGACGGAGCAACGCCGCGUGAGUGAUGAAGGUCUUCGGAUCGUAAAGCUCUGUUAUUAGGGAGGAACAAAUGUGUAAGUAACUAUGCACGUCUUGACGGUACCUAAUCAAAAAGCCACGGCUAACUACGUG